GACGAACGCUGGCGGCGUGCUUAAUACAUGCAAGUCGAGCGAGGUCCAUCUGGUGGCAACAACCAGUGAAGGCCGAGCGGCGAACGGGUGAGUAACACGUGAGCCAACCUGCCCCGAAGUCUGGAAUAACAUCGGGAAACCGGUGCUAAUACCGGAUCGCCCCACCUGACCGCAUGAUCGGGUGAAGGAAAGAUUUAUCGCGUUCGGGGAGGGGCUCGCGGCCUAUCAGCUAGGU
Molecule: ribosomal RNA, 235 nt
Filed under: uncultured bacterium
Lineage: Bacteria
Description: partial 16S ribosomal RNA
Rfam family: Bacterial small subunit ribosomal RNA
Source: RNAcentral